RNAcentral lists this transfer RNA (71 nucleotides) under Stegodyphus mimosarum. It matches the Rfam family "tRNA". Rfam says of the family: Transfer RNA (tRNA) molecules are approximately 80 nucleotides in length. Their secondary structure includes four short double-helical elements and three loops (D, anti-codon, and T loops). Further hydrogen bonds mediate the characteristic L-shaped molecular structure. tRNAs have two regions of fundamental functional importance: the anti-codon, which is responsible for specific mRNA codon recognition, and the 3' end, to which the tRNAs corresponding amino acid is attached (by aminoacyl-tRNA synthetases). tRNAs cope with the degeneracy of the genetic code in two manners: having more than one tRNA (with a specific anti-codon) for a particular amino acid; and 'wobble' base-pairing, i.e. permitting non-standard base-pairing at the 3rd anti-codon position. The record is from Rfam by way of RNAcentral. Lineage: Eukaryota; Metazoa; Arthropoda; Arachnida; Araneae; Eresidae.
GCCUUCGUGAUGUAACGGUAGCACAUACGGCUCGUAUCUGAGAGAUCCAGGUUUGAGUCCCGGCGAGGGCA